Molecule: unclassified non-coding RNA, 293 nt
Filed under: uncultured Moraxellaceae bacterium
Lineage: Bacteria; Pseudomonadati; Pseudomonadota; Gammaproteobacteria; Moraxellales; Moraxellaceae
Description: contains 16S-23S intergenic spacer region
Source: RNAcentral
CGGACUACUCGGGUUUCUAAUCCUGUUUGCUCCCCAUGCUUUCGUACCUCAGCGUCAGUAUUAGGCCAGAUGGCUGCCUUCGCCAUCGGUAUUCCUCCAGAUCUCUACGCAUUUCACCGCUACACCUGGAAUUCUACCAUCCUCUCCCAUACUCUAGCAUCGCAGUUUUGAAUGCAAUUCCCAAGUUAAGCUCGGGGAUUUCACAUCCAACUUACGAAGCCGCCUACGCACGCUUUACGCCCAGUAAAUCCGAUUAACGCUCGCACCCUCUGUAUUACCGCGGCUGCUGGCAC